CCAAAGCUGGCGACCGGCGCACGGGUGAGUAACACGUAUCCAACCUGCCUCAUACUCGGGGAUAGCCUUUCGAAAGAAAGAUUAAUAUCCGAUAGCAUAUAUUUCCCGCAUGGGUUUUAUAUUAAAGAAAUUCGGUAUGAGAUGGGGAUGCGUUCCAUUAGUUUGUUGGGGGGGUAACGGCCCGCCAAGACUACGAUGGAUAGGGGUUCUGAGAGGAAGGUCCCCCACAUUGGAACUGAGACACGGUCCAA
This 251-nucleotide ribosomal RNA is filed under the name uncultured bacterium. RNAcentral's name for it is "partial 16S ribosomal RNA". It matches the Rfam family "Bacterial small subunit ribosomal RNA", at positions 82 to 334 of the family's 1533-position model. The record is from RNAcentral.